RNAcentral lists this long non-coding RNA (1068 nucleotides) under Oryctolagus cuniculus (rabbit). Its description in RNAcentral is "lncRNA (ENSOCUG00000031498.1)". Lineage: Eukaryota; Metazoa; Chordata; Mammalia; Lagomorpha; Leporidae. The record is from RNAcentral.
AUGGUGAGUGGUCAGCUCGCCUUCCUUCGACUUCUGGGCGUUUUAACAGUUGCACCCACAGAGCAUUUGUGUCUGCCCACCGGGGGGUGCACUGGGGACACGGCCUGCAGGACAGCGAGGGGCAGAAGGGACAACACGCUGAAGGUGCCGGCUGUUCCCGGCAGCAGCUCUGAGCUGGGCUGCCCUCGAGGCGAGGCGGGCUUCUGCGUGGCUACACCGCCGGUCCCUGGGGGAGGACGCCUGGCAGCCGUCCUGCGGCUCCCUCUGCCUGGGACGAAUCUGGACUCCACUGCAAAUCCUUGCAGCCAACGGCCCCAGCAGCCGGGAGGGUGGAUGUUGGUCGGGACCGGGUGGCACUCCCAGUGUCCACGGCAGGGCCAAACCGGGGGUGGGACAAGCUGUAUGUGGGGUGCCAGGGAGUCCCAGCGCCUGAGUCCGCUGGCUGAAGUCUGCCACGUAGCCCUGGGUAGUGACAGAAAUUGGGCACCGUGUCCGUCCCCUCCCAGAGCGACGUGGGAUCCAAUGCAAGGUGUGGGCAUUGGCCUUGUGCCUUUGAGCUCUUUCCCCCUGAGCUUUCUCUCGGGCCACUCCUCUGUGCAGUGGACUCUGGCCAGCCUGCCGGGUGCAGUGGCUUGGCGGUCACGGAACCACGAAACCACUCGCUCGCCCUCCUGCCGGCCUCGGCGUCCCUGCCUGCAGCAUGGCACUCAGCGGUGCCGUGGGGAUGGGAUAAUCACGCCGUCUCAGUCGGUGGCCGUCACAGCCCCCCAGCAGCUGCUGCCUUCUCAGCAACUCCCACGCUCCGUCAAUGGCCUGGCCAGCGUGGCCUUGGCUGCUCAGCAAAGCCAGCCCUGCGCUCCGCCCCUCUGUCCUCGCAGCCCUUUCUUGGGACGAGCGGCAGGAGGCGCGAGCUCGGGGUGCACAGGGGCCCGGUGGGAGGGGCAGCUGCGGUGGGGCUGCGUGGGCCCUGGGCCCCCACCUGUUCGAGAGCCGCAGGACGGCCUCUGCUCCAUGCCCGCACCGCACUGGCCAUGUCCUGUCUGGUCUCUCCCACGGACCUUGCGCUGA